Molecule: ribosomal RNA, 381 nt
Filed under: Tolypocladium ophioglossoides
Lineage: Eukaryota; Fungi; Ascomycota; Sordariomycetes; Hypocreales; Ophiocordycipitaceae
Description: SSU rRNA
Rfam family: Eukaryotic small subunit ribosomal RNA
Source: RNAcentral
GUAGUUGAACCUUGGGCCUGGCUGGCCGGUCCGCCUCACCGCGUGUACUGGUCCGGCCGGGCCUUUCCCUCUGUGGAACCCCAUGCCCUUCACUGGGUGUGGCGGGGAAACAGGACUUUUACUUUGAAAAAAUUAGAGUGCUCCAGGCAGGCCUAUGCUCGAAUACAUUAGCAUGGAAUAAUGAAAUAGGACGUGCGGUUCUAUUUUGUUGGUUUCUAGGACCGCCGUAAUGAUUAAUAGGGACAGUCGGGGGCAUCAGUAUUCAAUUGUCAGAGGUGAAAUUCUUGGAUUUAUUGAAGACUAACUACUGCGAAAGCAUUUGCCAAGGAUGUUUUCAUUAAUCAGGAACGAAAGUUAGGGGAUCGAAGACGAUCAGAUACC